Molecule: ribosomal RNA, 398 nt
Filed under: uncultured bacterium
Lineage: Bacteria
Description: bacterial SSU rRNA
Rfam family: Bacterial small subunit ribosomal RNA
Source: RNAcentral
AUUGAACGCUGGCGGCAUGCCUUACACAUGCAAGUCGAACGGCAGCGGACCUUCGGGUGCCGGCGAGUGGCGAACGGGUGAGUAAUAUAUCGGAACGUACCUUUCAGUGGGGGAGUAACGUAGCGAAGUUACGCUAAUACCGCAUAUUCUGUGAGCAGGAAAGCAGGGGAGUCGCAAGACCUUGCGCUGAUUGAGCGGCCGAUAUCAGAUUAGCUAGUUGGUGAGGUAAAGGCUCACCAAGGCGACGAUCUGUAGCGGGUCGUGAGAGGAUGAUCCGCCACACUGGAACUGAGACACGGUCCAGACUCCUACGGGAGGCAGCAGUGGGGAAUUUUGGACAAUGGGCGGCAAGCCUGAUCCAGCCAUGCCGCGUGAGUGAAGAAGGCCUUCGGUGUAAG